Molecule: ribosomal RNA, 463 nt
Filed under: uncultured bacterium
Lineage: Bacteria
Description: partial 16S ribosomal RNA
Rfam family: Bacterial small subunit ribosomal RNA
Source: RNAcentral
GACGAACGCUGGCGGCGUGCUUAACACAUGCAAGUCGAACGGAAAGGCCUUUUCGGAGGUACUCGAGUGGCGAACGGGUGAGUAACACGUGGGUGAUCUGCCCUGCACUCUGGGAUAAGCCUGGGAAACUGGGUCUAAUACCGGAUAGGACCGCACUUUAGUGUGUGUGGUGGAAAGUUUUUUCGGUGUAGGAUGAGCCCGCGGCCUAUCAGCUUGUUGGUGGGGUAAUGGCCUACCAAGGCGGCGACGGGUAGCCGGACUGAGAGGUUGGUCGGCCACAUUGGGACUGAGAUACGGCCCAGACUCCUACGGGAGGCAGCAGUGGGGAAUAUUGCACAAUGGGCGCAAGCCUGAUGCAGCGACGCCGCGUGGGGGAUGACGGCCUUCGGGUUGGAAACUCCUUUCGCCAGGGACGAAGCGUUUUGUGACGGUACCUGGAGAAGAAGCACCGGCUAACUACGUG